AUGAGUUUUAUUUCAUCACACCAUCAAUUGAAAAGGUGGAGAAAACUCCAACUCUCACAUUACCUUUCUUCUCUAAAUUGGUUUCUGCUGUCGCUUCUGUUUGUUUCAUUUACUCUAACAUGCAUUCAGUUUUGGCCCAUGGUUCCUUCCUAAGAGUUGUAGCCCUUGAAAAACUAAUCAGUUUAGCCUAAAAAAUCACUCAAUUUGGAUCCGUAUUCUAGGAGAUAUUCCCUUCUGAAACUGGCUGCUGCUGUUGCGUUCUAUCCCGGUUAUUGUUAUUGUUUGCGGCUGUUCCUUUUGUCAAUCUCGGUAUUCUUUGAUGUCUUGUAUUCUGGUUGCUCCUACUCUUGAUUGAUUUAGAAUCUUGAUGCUUUGAAGUACCAAAUCAGAUAUUUGCAAGGUAUAGAACUUCAAGCCUAAUGUAUUACUGUUUUUCUUUAGUUAAUUUUUGAUAGUUUCAGCCUAAAUCAAUUUGCUAAUUAAUUUAAAGAUUUGUAUUCAUAAAAUCAUAUUUUCUCAUUUUUCAAAGAAGGGAUUUUGAUAAUAUUUUCCAAUAGAAAAUUAUUGUUAUGCUAAAUAAUAUUACUAUAGAGUUUAUUGGAAUCCGUAUUUAAAUUAGUAAUAGUGGGUGAUCAAUUCCUUAUAUUUUUGUGAGGUGGUAUAUGGAGAUUACUUAAGGAGAUUAAUUCAAGAAGGUGAAUCAAGUAUAUGAUUAUAUCUUGGAGGUUAUAUAUUUUUGUUCUUGAGUUCAUUAAGGAAAUGAUCAGCAUUCGAGGUUGUGUGGAAGCUCGGGUGUGAUUUAAAUGGAGCUUGAUUGUAUUUAAGGAUUUGUAAAUUGUGUGUUAUAAACCAAGGUUGUAUUCAUGUGUGAGAUAAUUUCUGAAUUGUUUGUAAAUUUGAAUGUGAAUUAAAGGUUUAUAUUUA
This is a long non-coding RNA of Spinacia oleracea (spinach), 924 nucleotides long. RefSeq lists it as uncharacterized. The transcript is spliced from 2 exons. Lineage: Eukaryota; Viridiplantae; Streptophyta; Magnoliopsida; Caryophyllales; Amaranthaceae. The record is from RefSeq and is a predicted model, not a curated record.